Molecule: ribosomal RNA, 481 nt
Filed under: uncultured bacterium
Lineage: Bacteria
Description: bacterial SSU rRNA
Rfam family: Bacterial small subunit ribosomal RNA
Source: RNAcentral
AUUGAACGCUGGCGGAAUGCUUUACACAUGCAAGUCGAGCGGCAGCGCGGGGCAACCUGGCGGCGAGCGGCGAACGGGUGAGUAAUACAUCGGAACGUGCCCAGACGUGGGGGAUAACUACUCGAAAGAGUGGCUAAUACCGCAUACGAUCUACGGAUGAAAGCGGGGGAUCGCAAGACCUCGCGCGUCUGGAGCGGCUGAUGGCAGAUUAAGUAGUUGGUGGGAUAAAAGCCUACCAAGCCAACGAUCUGUAGCUGGUCUGAGAGGAUGAUCAGCCACACUGGGACUGAGACACGGCCCAGACUCCUACGGGAGGCAGCAGUGGGGAAUUUUGGACAAUGGGCGAAAGCCUGAUCCAGCCAUUCCGCGUGCAGGAUGAAGGCCCUCGGGUUGUAAACUGCUUUUGUACAGAACGAAAAGCUCUGGCUAAUACCUGGAGUCCAUGACGGUACUGUAAGAAUAAGCACCGGCUAACUACGUG